RNAcentral lists this ribosomal RNA (491 nucleotides) under uncultured bacterium. RNAcentral's name for it is "partial 16S ribosomal RNA". It matches the Rfam family "Bacterial small subunit ribosomal RNA", at positions 28 to 507 of the family's 1533-position model. The record is from RNAcentral.
GAUGAACGCUGGCUACAGGCUUAACACAUGCAAGUCGAGGGGAAACGACGGGGAAGCUUGCUUCCCCGGGCGUCGACCGGCGCACGGGUGAGUAACGCGUAUCCAACCUGCCUCUGACUGAGGGAUAACCCGUCGAAAGUCGGCCUAAUACCUCAUGGUAUCGUCUGCGGGCAUCCAACGACGAUUAAAGAUUUCAUCGGUCAGGGAUGGGGAUGCGUCUGAUUAGCUUGUUGGCGGGGUAACGGCCCACCAAGGCUACGAUCAGUAGGGGUUCUGAGAGGAAGGUCCCCCACAUUGGAACUGAGACACGGUCCAAACGCCUACGGGAGGCAGCAGUGAGGAAUAUUGGUCAAUGGGCGAGAGCCUGAACCAGCCAAGUAGCGUGCAGGAAGACGGCCCUAUGGGUUGUAAACUGCUUUUAUGCGGGGAUAAAGUGAGGGACGUGUCCCUCAUUGCAGGUACCGCAUGAAUAAGGACCGGCUAAUUCCGUG